AAGGUUGUAAUUCAACUAACUUUCAACUAACAAGGUGUCAUCAGUUCAUUCAUGCUGUCACCAUCAUCUAUUCAACUAACAUUCUACUUGCUCACCGUGAGAAUCCCUCCUACUCGGGUUGGUUGUACUGGAAGGAAGAGUCUCUGGAGGAGGAAUCUGAGUUAUUUGAGCUUCUAUAUCUAGGAGCAGUGUGGUUUCCGAGGUAGUAAUUAAGAAUCUUGGCCUGCUAGCCAAAGGAGGGGCUGUAAGGAGAUGCUAUGCUUAACAGCGAGCAGACGAUGUAAUAGGAGCUUAAUCAAAAGUAAGCUGGUCCAGAAGUAUAGUCUGGAUGUAAUUUGAAGAAGUGUAGGACAUCUUCAUGUCUGUUAUAGUAAUCUCUAGGUAGAGGUUCUCUAGCUGUGGAAUUAUGGUUCUGAUACACAGCCAACCUCUCUGAGAUCAUGUUCGGUUGAUGGCCUGGCUGUUGACAACGCUGUAUGGUUUUAAAUCGCGCUGCUUUUCACGAUCAAAUGGCUGUCUAGAGAGUCUUCUGCUGGGAACAGGGUGUUUAUUCCGUUCUGCUUGGUGUUUUAUGAUCUGAUGGAAAAUUAGCAUGAUGGGACAAUCUUUGAGGCAGAACUGGUGUGGACUUUAGUUGGAGUUAUGGAAGGUUGUUGGAGUGACGGGAAUAUUGAGUGUAGGAGACGCUAGUGAAGAUCUAGGCUGCUAAAAAAGGAGAGUUGGGCAGAUGUCCUCCGCCUGUAGUGGAAUGCUGCCUUGGAUGGUAUAUCUGUGAUAGAUGCCAAAGCUGGGUUGGGAGUGGGAUGCUGGAUGCUACUACCAGAGUGUAGGAUUCAUUUUGUAAAGCCAGCUCUUUUCCAACUCUCACCAAGAAAAAUCAGGAUGCAAUAAAGGGCCUUUCUCUGGAAUCAAAGCUUGUUGGUGAUGCCUUGGCACAUUCUCCGUAUGCAGGGGCUGUAAAGAUACUGGUGCAAGCAUAGAGAUGUCAAAUACCAGCUGCCAGACAUGUUUCUAACUAACGUGGUUUUAUUAGUUUUGCAGGUAUAGCAUGUUACAUUGAAGUGUUGGUGCCUUCAGUUUUCUAAACAGGAGACUCUGUUGGUAGAAGUGGUAGCCUAUCUGCGAGCACGUUUCAAGAGUUAUGUAGGAGCAAAAGAGCGAUCAUAUCUUGGAGUAAGAAGGAUGGAGCAAGAGGUAGAGCUGAAGUUCAAGAAGUUAGACACGGGAAGAGAUUUAAACCUCAUUAGCGCACACGUUGAUUCUCUAAGCUAAUGUGAAUCCCUUCCUACGCUGCUUCUUCAGUUGUUCUCUUUUUCAAGUCCAUGCUUAACCAGGACUCAUCAGCCUUGGUUGUGGUUGGAUGCAGUGAGGGUGCAGGCUUGCUCCUUACUCUGUUGUUUGUCACCAAAGGAAUUGGCUAUGAUGUUAUGUGGUUUUCCCUCCUUCUAGCUUGAGUCACUGGAACUGCGAGUUCAGGUUGCUAACAUGUCGUUUAGCUUUACGCUUAUGCUGGGCUCUCUGCUGCUGAUUAUAGUAGUUAUUAGGUUGUUUUUAUGCUUUCUUCAGCUAUCUAUGUGCUCUUUGGUGGUCUAAAACCAAAGGGCAAAGUACUAUGGCGACACCCCUAAAAUGUUUCUCAUCUAUUUAUUUUUAUUCUUUCCUCAUAAAAAAAAACUAACAUUCUACUCGUAGGUAUUAAUAUUUAUUAUUCAUGAUCCCUAUUAUAGCACUUGGUUUUGUAAUUUGUUUUAUGUUAUCUACUAAUUUAGUAAGGAACAUCUGAUAUUGUAAAUUGGAAUGAUUAUCCUGGAUAAACUCAACAACUUU
RNAcentral lists this long non-coding RNA (1827 nucleotides) under Phaseolus vulgaris (common bean). RNAcentral's name for it is "long non-coding RNA (PVUL_LNC003103)". Lineage: Eukaryota; Viridiplantae; Streptophyta; Magnoliopsida; Fabales; Fabaceae. The record is from RNAcentral.